GACGAACGCUGGCGGCGUGCUUAACACAUGCAAGUCGAGCGGUAAGGCCCUUUCGGGGGUACACGAGCGGCGAACGGGUGAGUAACACGUGGGUGACCUGCCCUUAGCUCUGGGAUAAGCCUGGGAAACUGGGUCUAAUACCGGAUAUGACUCCAUGACGCAUGUUGUGGGGUGGAAAGCCUUGUGCGGCUAGGGAUGGGCCCGCGGCCUAUCAGCUUGUUGGUGGGGUGAUGGCCACCAAGGCGACGACGGGUAGCCGGCCUGAGAGGGCGACCGGCCACACUGGGACUGAGACACGGCCCAGACUCCUACGGGAGGCAGCAGUGGGGAAUCUUGCGCAAUGGCGAAAGCCUGACGCAGCGACGCCGCGUGGGGAUGACGGCCUCGG
RNAcentral lists this ribosomal RNA (388 nucleotides) under uncultured bacterium. Its description in RNAcentral is "bacterial SSU rRNA". It matches the Rfam family "Bacterial small subunit ribosomal RNA", at positions 28 to 420 of the family's 1533-position model. The record is from RNAcentral.